UACAGAGGGUGCGAGCGUUAAUCGGAAUUACUGGGCGUAAAGCGUGCGUAGACGGUAGCGUAAGUCAGAUGUGAAAGCCCCGGGCUCAACCUGGGAAUUGCAUUUGAGACUGCUCUGCUCGGGUGCGGAAGAGGGAAGCGGAAUUUCCGGUGUAGCGGUGAAAUGCGUAGAUAUCGGAAGGAACACCAGUGGCGAAAGCGGCUUCCUGGGCUGACACUGACGCUGAACUGCGAAAGCUAGGGGAGCGAACGGG
This 253-nucleotide ribosomal RNA is filed under the name uncultured bacterium. RNAcentral describes it as "partial 16S ribosomal RNA". It matches the Rfam family "Bacterial small subunit ribosomal RNA", at positions 524 to 776 of the family's 1533-position model. The record is from RNAcentral.